GUUCUUAGGCACCGUUUGGUUCGGAUAUAAGCAAGAAUUAACUAUUAUACGAAUAUGUACAAAUAUGAGGAUUAGAAAAUAGUAUUUGGAUAAAAAUUGGAUUGUUCUCGAGAAUAAAAAAAAAUAACGUUUGAAUAGAUAAUAUGAAAUAAAAAAAAUAGUAGGUAGUUAAAUAUAUAAAAUGGAAGUGUUUGUGAAAAUAAUUAUACCAACUUAUUUCAGAUACUUUAGACCGUUUGGUUCGGGUAUAAGCAAGAACUAGCUAUUACAGGGAUAGGUACAAGUAUGGGGAUAAGAAAAAUAGCGUUUGGAUGAAAAUUGGGUUGUUCCCGAGGAUAAGAAAAAUAUUAGGAAGUUUUAUAUAGAAAAUGAAGGUGUUGGUGGAGAUAACCGAGAACUACUAUUCUCGGAUAAAAAAUUAGCGUUUGGGUAUAAAGGGAGGGAUAAGGGCCUAUUCCUAUCCCUGUUUCCAAACCAAACAGUGCUUUAACAUUUAGAUAUAAAGAGAAAAUAAGAGGU
Molecule: long non-coding RNA, 519 nt
Filed under: Ananas comosus (pineapple)
Lineage: Eukaryota; Viridiplantae; Streptophyta; Magnoliopsida; Poales; Bromeliaceae
Description: long non-coding RNA (ACOM_LNC044075)
Source: RNAcentral